GUGGAGUUGGACCUUCCAAGCGCACUAAUUUCUUGCCUUUUACCAGAGAUUACCGUGGAAUGGCCAAAUUCACUCCAGUACUCUAAUCUUUGGAACCCCACAUUCGAUU
Molecule: small nuclear RNA, 109 nt
Filed under: Moelleriella libera RCEF 2490
Lineage: Eukaryota; Fungi; Ascomycota; Sordariomycetes; Hypocreales; Clavicipitaceae
Description: Aschersonia aleyrodis RCEF 2490 U5 spliceosomal RNA
Rfam family: U5 spliceosomal RNA
About the family: U5 RNA is a component of both types of known spliceosome. The precise function of this molecule is unknown, though it is known that the 5' loop is required for splice site selection and p220 binding, and that both the 3' stem-loop and the Sm site are important for Sm protein binding and cap methylation.
Source: Rfam by way of RNAcentral